UUUUAGGCAGAAAUGCAACAGCUUUUGUGAUAAACUGGAAGUAGCUGAACGCACUGCAAAGGCAGAAGCGCAGCUUAAAGAAAAAUACCAAAUGCGAUUCAAGGUUUUGUAGGAAAGGCUUAAAACUUCUAAUGGCAACUCUCACUUUGCCUCAGAAGGGAGAACCAUAAGCAAUGGAUCUUCAAGGCGUCAGUCUCUUGGUGGAGCAGAGAAUUUCUCAAAGUCAUCCUCCAAUGGAUAUCUAUCAAAGAGAACUUCAAAUUCACAUUAUGGGCUUCUCAGAUCAAACAGUGCUAGCACAUUAUUAAAGCAUGGUAAUAUCUCAAUGAGAUCAUUUGAUGGUGGUUGUAGAUCACUGGAUAGAGAUAAGCUGAUACCAGAUGCAAGUGGGAAAGAUAAUGUGCCCACCAAUACCUGUGAUCAGAACCUAAUUAGCGAAACAAAUGGUGGUCACAUGGAGAAUGCAAAUUGAACUUCAAUUGGAAACACCAAACCAGAACAUGAAGAUUAUGUUCUAUGGUCUAUUUAGUACCAAUAUUUCGUAUAAAUCACACUAAAAUUUUAGUACCAAUAUUUCAUAUAAAUCACACUGAAAAUGUAA
This is a long non-coding RNA of Quercus lobata, 601 nucleotides long. RefSeq lists it as uncharacterized. Lineage: Eukaryota; Viridiplantae; Streptophyta; Magnoliopsida; Fagales; Fagaceae. The record is from RefSeq and is a predicted model, not a curated record. The transcript is spliced from 2 exons.